Molecule: long non-coding RNA, 1267 nt
Organism: Sapajus apella (tufted capuchin)
Lineage: Eukaryota; Metazoa; Chordata; Mammalia; Primates; Cebidae
Exons: 2
Source: RefSeq, a predicted model, not a curated record
GGAGAUCACGCUGCACUCUACCCUGGGCAACAGAGCAAGACUCAGUCUCAAAAAAAAAAAAAGUUUGUGACAUGGUUCAUCCACAGCAGAACUUUUAGUCUUAGAAACUUGAGGAAUGAGGGAAAGAUCUAGAUGUAACUUUAUUAAGUUAGUUAACACUUCUAUGCCUUGGUUUCUUCAUCUGCAUAAGGGGGAUAAUAACAUGUCUGGCUCAUAAUAACUGCUUAGUAAGCAUUAUUAUUAGUUUUUCUGAAAGUAUUUAAGCACCAAGAGCGCAUGGACUUUGUCUUGUUCCCUGUCUUCAACACUUUCUGUGUAUCAGAUUGUGUAGACAUAGUUCCUGCAUUCAUUGAGCUUGCAAUCUAGUCAACACACAUAAUUGUAGAUAAUAAAUUGUGUUCAUAAUAAGGUAAAUGAAUAAAGCUUUUAUGCUUCCCUUAGAAACUAGUUAUUUAAAGAACAUCUAACUGCUAAUUUUCUACAAUGACAGUGUUGUUUUGUUUGCUUGUUGAAGAUGAAAUCCUGAAAGGAGUGUUAGGCUGUUAGCCUUGUGGUUGUGCAACUUUUCUGCUUGUACUACUGAUGAUUGAAUCUUCUCUGAUGUCUUGGGACUUGGAAGAUGCAGGUUUCAGUUCUAGUUCUGCUACUGAUUUUUGUACAUGACUCCAAGCAAGUUACUUCUUAACCUUGUCUAAUUGAAGUGUUGGUACUAAAUGAUUUCUAAGAUUUUUUCCAACUAUUAUUUUGUUAUUAAUCAAAUUCUCCAAAUUAUGUUUUCAGGGAGGGGAGCAGGGAACUGUUGAUAUUUAUGUAUGUUUGCCUUAAAACUGAAGGCUGAAAUUUAAAUGUUGAGCUCAUUUUCAUAAUUGUAUUUUGGUUUUAUUUACAGAUGCCAGAAGUGGGUGGAGAAUUGUAGGAGAGCCGACUUAGAAGAUAAAACACCUGAUCAGCUAAAUAAACAUUAUCGAUUAUGUGCCAAACAUUUUGAGACCUCUAUGAUCUGUAGAACUGUGAGUAAUAGAAGAACUUGGUGUCUCUGUUUGUCUUUUUAUUCUCUCUGUCACUCUGUCUGGUUAGAAAUGUAAGUAUUUAUCUACUAAUGUUCUAGAGUGUAAUUAAUGAAGUGUACGAUGUGGCGUUUACAUAGCAUAAUAGUUUUUAUUGUUUCAGAAAAAGUGGGAUUAAUAUGCUUCUUUUUUAAAAAGGUGAAAUUAUCAACCCAGCUUAGGUCAGUGACAGGGUUUAUGUAAAAAAACAAAACAAAACA